RNAcentral lists this small RNA (92 nucleotides) under Marmota monax (woodchuck). The record is from RNAcentral. Lineage: Eukaryota; Metazoa; Chordata; Mammalia; Rodentia; Sciuridae.
GCCAAGUGUGGUGGUGCACACCUGUAAUCCCAGCUUCUUAGGAGGCUGAGACAGUAGGCCAGCCUGGGCAACUUAGCAAGACUCUAUCUCAA